UAACCAUGUUGAUUCAUGUAAUUUCAGUCCAUUUAGUUUUGCUGCUGUGGUAACAUUCCUUUGUAUGAAAAACUAUUCUUUGUUGAUGAUACGUAUCUUUUCUCUCUAAUUCCUUUGGAUUAAAUGUUAGUGUUAAUGGUUUUGAUUUAGCAGACUAAUGGAUUAUGUUAAUUCUCUUAAUUUCCAUGUGUCUUAAGGCAUGUUGUGUUUUUUUUUGCACAGUAUAGCUCUCAUAUGGCCCAGUGAGUGGCAAAUGAUACAAAAGCUCUUUGUUGUGGAUCAUGUAAUUAAAAUCACGAGAAUUGAAAUGGGAGAUGUAAACCCUUCAGAAACACAGUAUAUUUCUGAGCCCAGUGAUGAAGGAUUCGGCUCCGGAACUGAAUGUGAGUAGUUCUGAAACAGAGGAGGACAAGGAAGAAGCUAAACCAGAUGGAGAAAAAGAUCCAGAUUUUAAUCAAAGCAAUGGUGGAACAAAGCGGCAAAAGAUAUCCCAUCAAAAUUAUAUAGCCUAUCAAAAGCAAGUUAUUCGCCGAAGUAUGCGACAUAGAAAAGUUCGUGGUGAGAAAGCACUUCUCGUUUCUGCUAAUCAGACGUUAAAAGAAUUGAAAAUUCAGAUCAUGCAUGCAUUUUCAGUUGCUCCUUUUGACCAGAAUUUGUCAAUUGAUGGAAAGAUUUUAAGUGAUGACUGUGCCACCCUAGGCACCCUUGGCGUCAUUCCUGAAUCUGUCAUUUUAUUGAAGGCUGAUGAACCAAUUGCAGAUUAUGCUGCAAUGGAUGAUGUCAUGCAAGGUAAAGAUGAAUUUGUUUUAGGAAUCUGCUGAUUAGGUUUUAGACGGAGGUGGGAUUUUAGAUAAUGAAGCUUUAGUGUACAAUGCUUUUACUUUGAACCUUGAAAAAAGCUUCCACAUAUUGUUACAGUAGAAUACAUUGUCUUAAAAGAUCAUAGAAAGGAGGGAAAGAUAUCUACAAAAACUUGGAAAGCUAACCUGAGGAAACUGAAAUAAAUGUGAGCUCUGCCUGUGGAGGAGGUCAACAAGAAGCAAAACUAAGUCAGAUUGCAGUGCCCCAGACAGGCACACACAAAUUAGAGGCCUAGGUACCUCUGAAGGUGGGAAUGAAUUGUGAGCCUAAAAACAAGAUAACAUGAUACUUGUUUGGAAAACUGUAUAAGAAGCAGUUAGACAACUCUCUACCUUUCACAUCCUUGUCACUUCCCCAUCUCCACCUGGACCUCAGAUGGGCACCUAGAAUUACGUGUUUCCACACUUGGAAAAAUUAAACUAGAAAGGUGGGAACGAAGCCUAUACCAAAUAGGAGACCAUCUCUUAGCCCUUUGCUCAAAUUCGGGCAGCCCAUUACUUACCCUCCCCCAGGUGGGAAGGGAUUUCUCUCCAGGGAAACUAGUCAAGAAAAUAACCAGUGGAUGUAAAAAGUCUGGUUCUGUAUGAUCAAGUGAGAUUUCUCCCAGGGAUGCAAGGAUGGUUCAACAUAUGCAAACCAAUACAUCACAUCAGCAGAAUGAAGGACAAAAAUCAUAUGAUCAUCUUAAUAGACAAAGAAAAAGCAUUUGAUAAAAUUCAACAUCCCUUCGUGGUAAAAACUCUCAAAAAAUUAAGUACAGAAGGAACAUACCUCAAUAUAAUAAAGGCCAUAUGUGAGAAACCCACAGCUGACAUCAUACCUAAUGGCAAAAAGCUUAAAGCCUUUCCUCUAAGAACUGGAAUAGACAAGGACGGCCAUUUUCACCACUCUUACUCAACAUAGUAUUGGAAGUCCUAGCAAGAGCAAUUAGGCAAGAUAAAUAAGUAAAAAGCAUGCAAAAUUGGAAAAGAGGAAGUCAAAUGGUCCCUCUUUGCAGAUGACAUGCUUUUUUUUUAGAGUCUCUGUUGCCCAGACUGGAGUGCAGUGGCACCAUCUCAGCUCACUGCAGCCACCACUCCUGGGUUCAAGCAAUUCUUGUGCCUCAGACUCCUGAGUAGCUGGGACUACAGGCAUGUGCCAUGACACCCAGCUAAUUUUUGUAUUUUUACUAGAGAUGAGGAUUUCCCAUAUUGGCCAGGCUGGUCCCGAACUCCUGGCCCGCUGUGAUCU
This 2091-nucleotide small RNA is filed under the name Pan troglodytes (chimpanzee). RNAcentral's name for it is "retained intron". The record is from RNAcentral. Lineage: Eukaryota; Metazoa; Chordata; Mammalia; Primates; Hominidae.